GAUAGUGAACCAGUACCGUGAGGGAAAGGCGAAAAGAACCCCGGCGAGGGGAGUGAAAAAGAACCUGAAACCGUGUACGUACAAGCAGUGGGAGCCUCUUUAUGGGGUGACUGCGUACCUUUUGUAUAAUGGGUCAGCGACUUAUAUUCUGUAGCAAGGUUAACCGUAUAGGGGAGCCGAAGGGAAACCGAGUCUUAACUG
RNAcentral lists this ribosomal RNA (201 nucleotides) under Enterobacter hormaechei subsp. xiangfangensis. RNAcentral describes it as "partial 23S ribosomal RNA". It matches the Rfam family "Bacterial large subunit ribosomal RNA", at positions 486 to 690 of the family's 2925-position model. Lineage: Bacteria; Pseudomonadati; Pseudomonadota; Gammaproteobacteria; Enterobacterales; Enterobacteriaceae. The record is from RNAcentral.